AAGUCGUGCACGCCGGAGUGUCCUCUCACAUAAUAAUCCAUCUCACCCUUUGUGCACCACCGCGUGGGCACCCUUUGGGAUCAGACCGAUCUCGGAGGAUGCUCGCGUUUUCACACAAACCCCCCUUAUAAAAGUGUAGAAUGUCCUCAUUUAUGCGCUAACCCGCAAUCAAUACAACUUUCAACAACGGAUCUCUUGGCUCUCGCAUCGAUGAAGAACGCAGCGAAAUGCGAUACGUAAUGUGAAUUGCAGAAUUCAGUGAAUCAUCGAAUCUUUGAACGCACCUUGCGCCCCUUGGUAUUCCGAGGGGCACACCCGUUUGAGUGUCGUGAAAAUCUCAACCUCCUUGGUUUCUUCUGGAGACCAAAGGAGGCUUGGACUUUGGAGGCAUUUGCUGGCAUCUUCUCUCUUUUGAAGGCCAGCUCCUCUUAAACAAAUUAGCGGGGUCCUCUUUGCCGAUCCUUGACAUGUGAUAAGAUGUUUCCAUGCCUUGGUUUCUGGCUCUGUUGCUUUUGGGACCCGCUUCUAACCGUCUUGACCUUGCAUCGAGACAAUGUUCGAGCUCGUCUCCCUUCUCGGAAGACUCUCGACCCCACGAACCCUUGACCUCAAAUCGGGUGAGACUACCCGCUGAACUUAAGCAUAUC
Molecule: ribosomal RNA, 647 nt
Filed under: uncultured Lactarius
Lineage: Eukaryota; Fungi; Basidiomycota; Agaricomycetes; Russulales; Russulaceae
Description: eukaryotic LSU rRNA
Rfam family: 5.8S ribosomal RNA (bases 176-329)
Source: RNAcentral